AUUGCAUCAACCUUGGAACCAUUUCCUACGCGCAUCGUCACUCCAUCUUUUGCCAGCCUUCGUCUAUUCCGCAGUUCCUGUUUCGAGUUGCAAAUAUGAGCAACAUAACCGGUAUCGAAUACCCACGCACUACUACGAGAGCCGGUUAAGUACACAUCAAUAACAUGUAUAUCAAAUAUACCUGAUUUUUCUUUGGCCGCCUUCAUAUCUGCCAGAUACUUGGGGCAAUUGCGCUUCCAG
Molecule: long non-coding RNA, 240 nt
Filed under: Hordeum vulgare
Lineage: Eukaryota; Viridiplantae; Streptophyta; Magnoliopsida; Poales; Poaceae
Description: long non-coding RNA (HVUL_LNC005144)
Source: RNAcentral